AAUCUAGGGUUAAAGAUGUGAGCUUACUGUCUUCAAAUAAAUAGUUGAUUUAUGUUCUUAUUUAUAAUGCUUUUGAGCCAAAAAUUGAACCUUCUAUAUCUUUUGAGCUUGUAUAAGCCCUGUCUGUGCUCUUCUGUGCAAUCGUUAAUAAUCAGAGACUUGAAUGUAUGCAGUUUUUCAGCAUAACUUAAUUUUCUUUUUGUAUUUGCCCCUGAUUACAUGAAUAAUAAACACAAACAUUUGUGAGGACACUAAAACCUUAUCAUAACACUGUCAGUGGGUAAAACAUACACAUACAUAAAUGCAGGGUUGCUUUACCUCAAGACCAGGUGAGUCUCCUGUGGUGGAUGGGAACCAGUUAUUAAUUGCAUGGCCUGCAAACCCCUGUGAAACAGGGGUUUUGUUGUACUGCUUGUCAGCCCAAAUUAGUUGUUAACUACCU
Molecule: long non-coding RNA, 442 nt
Filed under: Bos taurus (domestic cattle)
Lineage: Eukaryota; Metazoa; Chordata; Mammalia; Artiodactyla; Bovidae
Description: long non-coding RNA NONBTAT023313
Source: RNAcentral